GACGAACGCUGGCGGCGUGCUUAACACAUGCAAGUCGAACGGAAAGGCCCUGCUUUUGUGGGGUGCUCGAGUGGCGAACGGGUGAGUAACACGUGAGUAACCUGCCCUUGACUUUGGGAUAACUUCAGGAAACUGGGGCUAAUACCGGAUAGGAGCUCCUGCUGCAUGGUGGGGGUCGGAAAGUUUCGGCGGUUGGGGAUGGACUCGCGGCUUAUCAGCUUGUUGGUGGGGUAGUGGCUUACCAAGGCUUUGACGGGUAGCCGGCCUGAGAGGGUGACCGGCCACAUUGGGACUGAGAUACGGCCCAGACUCCUACGGGAGGCAGCAGUGGGGAAUAUUGCACAAUGGGCGGAAGCCUGAUGCAGCAACGCCGCGUGCGGGAUGACGGCCUUCGGGUUGUAAACCGCUUUCGCCUGUGACGAAGCGUGAGUGACGGUAAUGGGUAAAGAAGCACCGGCUAACUACGUGCCAGCAGCCGCGGUGAUACGUAGGGUGCGAGCGUUGUCCGGAUUUAUUGGGCGUAAAGGGCUCGUAGGUGGUUGAUCGCGUCGGAAGUGUAAUCUUGGGGCUUAACCCUGAGCGUGCUUUCGAUACGGGUUGACUUGAGGAAGGUAGGGGAGAAUGGAAUUCCUGGUGGAGCGGUGGAAUGCGCAGAUAUCAGGAGGAACACCAGUGGCGAAGGCGGUUCUCUGGGCCUUUCCUGACGCUGAGGAGCGAAAGCGUGGGGAGCGAACAGGCUUAGAUACCCUGGUAGUCCACGCUGUAAACGGUGGGUACUAGGUGUGGGGUCCAUUCCACGGGUUCCGUGCCGUAGCUAACGCUUUAAGUACCCCGCCUGGGGAGUACGGCCGCAGGGCUAAAACUCAAAGGAAUUGACGGGGCCCCGCACAAGCGGCGGAGCAUGCGGAUUAAUUCGAUGCAACGCGUAGAACCUUACCUGGGUUUGACAUGGAUCGGGAGUGCUCAGAGAUGGGUGUGCCUCUUUUGGGGUCGGUUCACAGGUGGUGCAUGGCUGUCGUCAGCUCGUGUCGUGAGAUGUUGGGUUAAGUCCCGCAACGAGCGCAACCCUUGUUCACUGUUGCCAGCACGUUAUGGUGGGGACUCAGUGGAGACCGCCGGGGUCAACUCGGAGGAAGGUGGGGAUGACGUCAAGUCAUCAUGCCCCUUAUGUCCAGGGCUUCACGCAUGCUACAAUGGCUGGUACAGAGAGUGGCGAGCCUGUGAGGGUGAGCGAAUCUCGGAAAGCCGGUCUCAGUUCGGAUUGGGGUCUGCAACUCGACCUCAUGAAGUCGGAGUCGCUAGUAAUCGCAGAUCAGCAACGCUGCGGUGGAUACGUUCCCGGG
Molecule: ribosomal RNA, 1343 nt
Filed under: uncultured bacterium
Lineage: Bacteria
Description: 16S ribosomal RNA
Rfam family: Bacterial small subunit ribosomal RNA
Source: RNAcentral